GUUUGAUCAUGGCUCAGGAUGAACGCUAGCUACAGGCUUAACACAUGCAAGUCGAGGGGCAGCAUGAACUUAGCUUGCUAAGUUUGAUGGCGACCGGCGCACGGGUGAGUAAUACGUAUCCAACCUGCCGAUGACUCGGGGAUAGCCUUUCGAAAGAAAGAUUAAUACCCGAUGGCAUAGUUCUUCCGCAUGGUGGAACUAUUAAAGAAUUUCGGUCAUCGAUGGGGAUGCGUUCCAAUAGAUUGUUGGCGGGGUAACGGCCCACCAAGCCUUCGAUGGAUAGGGGUUCUGAGAGGAAGGUCCCCCACAUUGGAACUGAGACACGGUCCAAACUCCUACGGGAGGCAGCAGUGAGGAAUAUUGGUCAAUGGACGAGAGUCUGAACCAGCCAAGUAGCGUGAAGGAUGACUGCCCUAUGGGUUGUAAACUUCUUUUAUACGGGAAUAAAGUGAGGCACGUGUGCCUUUUUGUAUGUACCGUAUGAAUAAGGAUCGGCUAACUCCGUGCCAGCGGCCGCGGUAAUACGGAGGAUCCGAGCGUUAUCCGGAUUUAUUGGGUUUAAAGGGAGCGUAGGCGGACGCUUAAGUCAGUUGUGAAAGUUUGCGGCUCAACCGUAAAAUUGCAGUUGAUACUGGGUGUCUGAGUACAG
This 649-nucleotide ribosomal RNA is filed under the name uncultured bacterium. RNAcentral describes it as "bacterial SSU rRNA". It matches the Rfam family "Bacterial small subunit ribosomal RNA", at positions 11 to 651 of the family's 1533-position model. The record is from RNAcentral.